AUGUAAUAGUUAGAUUGUGGACAUGACAAUUGUACUAUGAUGUAAUGUAAGAGAUUACAGUAUGUUAUGUAAUGAGGUAUAUUGAGGUUAUAGAUGUGCUUGACCCUAUGAGUAUUGUAAUCCCUUGUUGAUGCAUGAUCUUAGAUAUUUGAUGAUACAGAUGUUAGCCAACUCAACGCAUGUAUAUCGCCCUUUGGGGCAUUGUUGAGAUCCCAACAGAGGGAUAAAUGUAUAAGUUAUGCUAUGUUUUAGUGCAUGCACAGGUUGAGUUUGGUAUAUGAGAAAUGAAUGAAAGAAAAGUUUAAAUUUUUAUGCAUGUUGUUGAUCAUGUAUGGGAUUAUACAGGUUUACAGGUUAUAUGUCAGGCUUGCUACGGGUCCCGGCGGCCUUAAGCCGACCUGGA
RNAcentral lists this long non-coding RNA (403 nucleotides) under Manihot esculenta (cassava). RNAcentral describes it as "long non-coding RNA (MESC_LNC012924)". The record is from RNAcentral. Lineage: Eukaryota; Viridiplantae; Streptophyta; Magnoliopsida; Malpighiales; Euphorbiaceae.